RNAcentral lists this ribosomal RNA (374 nucleotides) under uncultured bacterium. RNAcentral describes it as "bacterial SSU rRNA". It matches the Rfam family "Bacterial small subunit ribosomal RNA", at positions 523 to 897 of the family's 1533-position model. The record is from RNAcentral.
AUACGAAGGGGGCUAGCGUUGUUCGGAUUUACUGGGCGUAAAGCGCACGUAGGCGGGUCGUUAAGUUAGGGGUGAAAUCCCAGGGCUCAACCCUGGAACUGCCUUUAAUACUGGCGACCUAGAGUCCGGAAGAGGUGAGUGGAACUCCUUGUGUAGAGGUGGAAUUCGUAGAUAUUAGGAAGAACACCAGUGGCGAAGGCGGCUCACUGGUCCGGUACUGACGCGAAGGUGCGAAAGCGUGGGGAGCAAACAGGAUUAGAUACCCUGGUAGUCCACGCCGUAAACUAUGAGAGCUAGCCGUUGGGAUGUUUACAUCUCAGUGGCGCAGCUAACGCAUUAAGCUCUCCGCCUGGGGAGUACGGUCGCAAGAUUAA